CCUACGGGAGGCAGCAGUGAGGAAUAUUGGUCAAUGGACGAGAGUCUGAACCAGCCAAGUAGCGUGAAGGAUGACUGCCCUAUGGGUUGUAAACUUCUUUUAUAUGGGAAUAAAACGUUCCACGUGUGGGAUUUUGUAUGUACCAUAUGAAUAAGGAUCGGCUAACUCCGUUCCAGCAGCCGCGGUAAUACGGAGGAUCCGAGCGUUAUCCGGAUUUAUUGGGAUUAAAGGGAGCGUAGGUGGAUUGUUAAGUCAGUUGUGAAAGUUUGCGGCUCAACCGUAAAAUUGCAGUUGAAACUGGCAGUCUUGAGUACAGUAGAGGUGGGCGGAAUUCGUGGUGUAGCGGUGAAAUGCUUAGAUAUCACGAAGAACUCCGAUUGCGAAGGCAGUUCACUGGACUGCAACUGACACUGAGGCUCGAAAGUGUGGGUAUCAAACAGGAUUAGAUACCCUGGUAGUC
RNAcentral lists this ribosomal RNA (460 nucleotides) under uncultured bacterium. RNAcentral describes it as "partial 16S ribosomal RNA". It matches the Rfam family "Bacterial small subunit ribosomal RNA", at positions 338 to 795 of the family's 1533-position model. The record is from RNAcentral.